GAUGAACGCUGGCGGCGUGCCUAAUACAUGCAAGUCGAGCGAACAGACGAGGAGCUUGCUCCUCUGACGUUAGCGGCGGACGGGUGAGUAACACGUGGAUAACCUACCUAUUAGACUGGGAUAACUUCGGGAAACCGGAUCUAAUACCGGAUAAUAUAUUGAACCGCAUGGUUCAAUAGUGAAAGACGGUUUUGCUGUCACUUAUAGCUGGAUCCGCGCGGCAUUAGCUAGUUGGUAAGGUAACGGCUUACCAAGGCAACGAUGCGUAGCCGACCUGAUAGGGUGAUCGACCACAUUGGAACGGAGACACGGACCAGACGCCUACGGGAGGCAGCAGUAGGGAAUCUGCCGCAAUGGGCGGAAGCCUGACGGAGCAACGCCGCGUGAGUGAUGAAGGUCUUCGGAGCGUAAAACUCUGUUAUUAGGGAAGAACAAAUGUGUAAGUAACUAUGCACGUCUUGACGGUACCUAAUCAGAAAGCCACGGCUAACUACGUG
RNAcentral lists this ribosomal RNA (497 nucleotides) under uncultured bacterium. RNAcentral's name for it is "partial 16S ribosomal RNA". It matches the Rfam family "Bacterial small subunit ribosomal RNA", at positions 28 to 507 of the family's 1533-position model. The record is from RNAcentral.